GAUGAACGCUGGCGGCGUGCCUAAUACAUGCAAGUUGAGCGAACAGAUGAGGAGCUUGCUCCUCUGACGUUAGCGGCGGACGGGUGAGUAACACGUGGAUAACCUACCUAUAAGACUGGGAUAACUUCGGGAAACCGGAGCUAAUACCGGAUAAUAUAUUGAACCGCAUGGUUCAAUAGUGAAAGACGGUUUUGCUGUCACUUAUAGAUGGAUCCGCGCCGCAUUAGCUAGUUGGUAAGGUAACGGCUUACCAAGGGAACGAUGCGUAGCCGACCUGAGAGGGUGAUCGGCCACACUGGAACUGAGACACGGUCCAGACUCCUACGGGAGGCAGCAGUAGGGAAUCUUCCGCAAUGGGCGGAAGCCUGACGGAGCAACGCCGCGUGAGUGAUGAAGGUCUUCGGAUCGUAAAACUCUGUUAUUAGGGAAGAACAAAUGUGUAAGUAACUAUGCACGUCUUGACGGUACCUAAUCAGAAAGCCACGGCUAACUACGUG
Molecule: ribosomal RNA, 497 nt
Filed under: uncultured bacterium
Lineage: Bacteria
Description: partial 16S ribosomal RNA
Rfam family: Bacterial small subunit ribosomal RNA
Source: RNAcentral